UACGUAGGUGGCAAGCGUUGUCCGGAUUUACUGGGCGUAAAGAGCGCGCAGGCGGUCGUUCAAGUCGCGUGUGAAAGCCCCCGGCUCAACUGGGGAGGGUCACGCGAUACUGAUCGACUCGAAGGCAGGAGAGGGUAGUGGAAUUCCCGGUGUAGUGGUGAAAUGCGUAGAUAUCAGGAAGAACACCAAUGGCGAAGGCAGCUCUCUGGGACGGUACUGACGCUGAGACGCGAAAGCGUGGGGAGCGAACAGG
This 253-nucleotide ribosomal RNA is filed under the name uncultured bacterium. Its description in RNAcentral is "partial 16S ribosomal RNA". It matches the Rfam family "Bacterial small subunit ribosomal RNA", at positions 524 to 776 of the family's 1533-position model. The record is from RNAcentral.